UGACCUCAAAUCAGGUAGGACUACCCGCUGAACUUAAGCAUAUCAAUAAGCGGAGGAAAAGAAACUAACAAGGAUUCCCCUAGUAACUGCGAGUGAAGCGGGAAGAGCUCAAAUUUUGAAUCUGGCGGUCCUUGCGGCCGUCCGAGUUGUAAUCUAGAGAAGCGUUUUCCGCGCUGGACCGUGUACAAGUCUCCUGGAAGGGAGCGUCGUAGAGGGUGAGAAUCCCGUCUUUGACACGGACUACCAGGGCUAUGUGAUGCGCUCUCGACGAGUCGAGUUGUUUGGGAAUGCAGCUCAAAUCGGGUGGUAAAUUCCAUCUAAAGCUAAAUACAGGCGAGAGACCGAUAGCGAACAAGUACCGUGAGGGAAAGAUGAAAAGAACUUUGGAAAGAGAGUUAAACAGUACGUGAAAUUGCUGAAAGGGAAACGCUUGAUGUCAGUCGCGUCGGCCGGGGAUCAACCUUGCUUGAUUGCUCGGUGUACUUCCUGGUCGACGGGUCAGCAUCAGUUUCGAUCGCCGUACAAGGGCGGAGGGAAUGUGGCACUCUUCGCGGAGUGUGUUAUAGCCUUUUGUCGUAUGCGGUGCUUGGGACUGAGGAACUCAGCACGACCU
This 613-nucleotide ribosomal RNA is filed under the name Alpova diplophloeus. Its description in RNAcentral is "eukaryotic LSU rRNA". It matches the Rfam family "Eukaryotic large subunit ribosomal RNA", at positions 1 to 610 of the family's 3401-position model. Lineage: Eukaryota; Fungi; Basidiomycota; Agaricomycetes; Boletales; Melanogastraceae. The record is from RNAcentral.